GACGAACGCUGGCGGCGUGCUUAACACAUGCAAGUCGAACGGUAAGGCCCUUCGGGGUACACGAGUGGCGAACGGGUGAGUAACACGGGGGUGAUCUGCCCUGCACUUCGGGAUAAGCCUGGGAAACUGGGUCUAAUACCGGAUAGGACCCUGGGAUGCAUGUCCUGGGGUGGAAAGCUUUUGCGGUGUGGGAUGGGCCCGGGGCCUAUCAGCUUGGUGGUGGGGUGAUGGCCUACCAAGGCGACGACGGGUAGGCGGCCUGAGAGGGUGACCGGCCACACUGGGACUGAGAUACGGCCCAGACUCCUACGGGAGGCAGCAGUGGGGAAUAUUGCACAAUGGGCGCAAGCCUGAUGCAGCGACGCCGCGUGAGGGAUGACGGCCUUCGGGUUGUAGACCUCUUUCAGCACCGACGAAGCGCAAGUGACGGUAGGUGCAGAAGAAGGACCGGCCAACUACGUGCCAGCCGCCGCGGUAA
RNAcentral lists this ribosomal RNA (478 nucleotides) under uncultured bacterium. Its description in RNAcentral is "partial 16S ribosomal RNA". It matches the Rfam family "Bacterial small subunit ribosomal RNA", at positions 28 to 523 of the family's 1533-position model. The record is from RNAcentral.